RNAcentral lists this ribosomal RNA (398 nucleotides) under uncultured bacterium. RNAcentral describes it as "partial 16S ribosomal RNA". It matches the Rfam family "Bacterial small subunit ribosomal RNA", at positions 338 to 733 of the family's 1533-position model. The record is from RNAcentral.
CCUACGGGUGGCAGCAGUGAGGAAUAUUGGUCAAUGGACGCGAGUCUGAACCAGCCAUGCCGCGUGCGGGAAGAAGGCUCUAUGAGUUGUAAACUGCUUUUGUACGAGGGUAAAGGCAGAUACGCGUAUCUGUCUGAGAGUAUCGUACGAAUAAGGAUCGGCUAACUCCGUGCCAGCAGCCGCGGUAAUACGGAGGAUUCAAGCGUUAUCCGGAUUUAUUGGGGUUAAAGGGUGCGUAGGCGGUCGGAUAAGUUAGAGGUGAAAUCCCGAGGCUCAACUUCGGCAUGGCCUUUGAUACUGUCAGUCUAGAGAGUAGUUGCGGUAGGCGGAAUGCACGGUGUAGCGGUGAAAUGCUUAGAGAUCACACAGAACACCGAUUGCGAAGGCAGCUUACCAAG